CCUACGGUGGGCAGCAGUGAGGAAUAUUGGUCAAUGGACGAGAGUCUGAACCAGCCAAGUAGCGUGAAGGAUGACUGCCCUAUGGGUUGUAAACUUCUUUUAUAUGGGAAUAAAAUGUUCCACGUGUGGGAUUUUGUAUGUACCAUAUGAAUAAGGAUCGGCUAACUCCGCUCCAGCAGCCGCGGUAAUACGGAGGGUCCGAGCGUUAUCCGGAUUUAUUGGGGUUAAAGGGAGCGUUGGUGGGUUGUUAAGUCAGUUGUGAAAGUUUGCGGCUCAACCGUAAAAUUGCAGUUGAAACUGGCAGUCUAGAGUAUAGUUGAGGUAGGCGGAAUUCGUGGUGUAGCGGUGAAAUGCUUAGAUAUCACGAAGAACCCCGAUUGCGAAGGCAGCUUACUAAACUGUGACUGACAUUGAUGCUCGAAAGUGUGGGUAUCAAACAGGAUUAGAUACCCCUGUAGUC
RNAcentral lists this ribosomal RNA (460 nucleotides) under uncultured bacterium. RNAcentral describes it as "partial 16S ribosomal RNA". It matches the Rfam family "Bacterial small subunit ribosomal RNA", at positions 338 to 795 of the family's 1533-position model. The record is from RNAcentral.